Molecule: ribosomal RNA, 253 nt
Filed under: uncultured bacterium
Lineage: Bacteria
Description: partial 16S ribosomal RNA
Rfam family: Bacterial small subunit ribosomal RNA
Source: RNAcentral
UACGGAGGGUGCAAGCGUUGUCCGGAAUCACUGGGCGUAAAGGGCGCGUAGGCGGCUCAUGAAGGCUGUGGUGAAAGUCCGGGGCUCAACCUCGGAUCGGCCGUGGCGACUCGUGGGCUGGAGCACUGUAGAGGCGGGUGGAAUUCCGGGUGUAGCGGUGGAAUGCGUAGAGAUCCGCAAGAACACCAGUGGCGAAGGCGGCUCACUGGCCCGAUACUGACGCUGAGGCACGAAAGCGUGGGGAGCAAACAGG